AUGAACUGGCCGUUCUGCCAUCCGCUGCGUCCUGCCGUCUGUUUUCUUAAGCCUGUGAGCCGAUGGCCAUCGUCCUCCAUCACGCGUGCCGCCGCUAGGCAUCGUCCGAGUGCUGACGCGCUCUACCGUGGUACAGGCGUGUGCCACCCCUGGCCAUGUCGCGUGUCUCGCGCGAGCUUUGCGUGCAGAUGCCGCAAGCCAAGUAGCACGGGCCCUGACGGCCGUCGCACCUCCGUUGGCCUUGCCGCAGCGUGUCGUGCCGCCGCAAGCUGCUGCAGUGCCACCACGCCGGCUGGCCAGGCUUCAAGCCGCACCACGGCAUCGCGCUCCGCUGGCACCGCGUGCAGAGCUCACAGCUCGCCGCCGCCGGCCAUGGAGGAAGCGGACGGCUGUGUUAAGCUGCCGUUAAGCUGCCGCGCGGCCUGA
This 426-nucleotide ribosomal RNA is filed under the name Triticum aestivum (bread wheat). RNAcentral describes it as "partial small subunit ribosomal RNA". Lineage: Eukaryota; Viridiplantae; Streptophyta; Magnoliopsida; Poales; Poaceae. The record is from RNAcentral.